This 294-nucleotide ribosomal RNA is filed under the name uncultured bacterium. Its description in RNAcentral is "partial 16S ribosomal RNA". It matches the Rfam family "Bacterial small subunit ribosomal RNA", at positions 28 to 323 of the family's 1533-position model. The record is from RNAcentral.
GACGAACGCUGGCGGCGUGCUUAACACAUGCAAGUCGAGCGGUAAGGCCCUUUCGGGGGUACACGAGCGGCGAACGGGUGAGUAACACGUGGGUGACCUGCCCUCAGCUCUGGGAUAAGCCUGGGAAACCGGUCGUAUACUCGGAUAUGACUCCAUGACGCAUGUUGUGGGGUGGAAAGCCUUGUGCGGCUGAGGAUGGGCCCGCGGCCUAUCAGCUUGUUGGUGGGGUGANGGCCUACCAAGGCGACGACGGGUAGCCGGCCUGAGAGGGCGACCGGCCACACUGGGACUGGA